RNAcentral lists this unclassified non-coding RNA (378 nucleotides) under soil metagenome. Its description in RNAcentral is "partial contains 5.8S ribosomal RNA, internal transcribed spacer 2, and large subunit ribosomal RNA". The stretch from base 1 to 120 matches the Rfam family "5.8S ribosomal RNA", at positions 35 to 154 of the family's 154-position model. The record is from RNAcentral.
GAUGAAGAACGUAGCGAAAUGCGAUAAGUAAUGUGAAUUGCAGAAUUCAGUGAAUCAUCGAAUCUUUGAACGCACCUUGCGCUCCUUGGUAUUCCGAGGAGCAUGCCUGUUUGAGUGUCAUUAAAUUCUCAACCUUUAUCUUUUAUUGAUAAAUGGCUUGGACUUGGGGGUUUGCUGGCGAAAGUCAGCUCCUCUGAAAUGUAUUAGCUGGUUGCCUUGUGUGAACUUGUCUAUUAGUGUGAUAAUUAUCUACGCCGUGGGCUGUUUGCCGUUUUAGCACUGCUUCUAACUGUCUGUUAACUCGGACAAUAUAUGACAAUUUGACCUCAAAUCAGGUAGGACUACCCGCUGAACUUAAGCAUAUCAAUAAGCGGAGGA